Molecule: ribosomal RNA, 253 nt
Filed under: uncultured bacterium
Lineage: Bacteria
Description: partial 16S ribosomal RNA
Rfam family: Bacterial small subunit ribosomal RNA
Source: RNAcentral
UACGUAGGGACCAAGCGUUGUUCGGAUUUACUGGGCGUAAAGGGCGCGUAGGCGGCGUGGUAAGUCACUUGUGAAAUCUCUGAGCUUAACUCAGAACGGCCAAGUGAUACUGCUGUGCUAGAGUGCAGAAGGGGCAAUCGGAAUUCUUGGUGUAGCGGUGAAAUGCAUAGAUACCAUCCAGAACCCCGAUUGCGUAGGCAGCUGACUAGGCUGGUACUGACACUGAGGCACGAAAGCGUGGGGAGCGAACAGG